AUUGAACGCUGGCGGCAGGCCUAACACAUGCAAGUCGAGCGGAUGAAGGGAGCUUGCUCCUGGAUUCAGCGGCGGAUGGGUGAGUAAUGCCUAGGAAUCUGCCUGGUAGUGGGGGAUAACGUCCGGAAACGGGCGCUAAUACCGCAUACGUCCUGAGGGAGAAAGUGGGGGAUCUUCGGACCUCACGCUAUCAGAUGAGCCUAGGUCGGAUUAGCUAGUUGGUGGGGUAAAGGCCUACCAAGGCGACGAUCCGUAACUGGUCUGAGAGGAUGAUCAGUCACAUUGGAAAUGAACAACGCCCCAGACCCCGGCGGGAGGCGGCAGGGGGGAUUUGUGGACAAGGGGCGAAAGCUGGACCCAGCCUGGCCGCGGGGGUGAAGAAGGUUUUAGGUUUGUAAAGCCUUUUAGUUGGGGAGAAAGGGAAUAAGUUUAAUACCUUCCUUUUUUGACUUUACCAAAAAAAGAAGCCCCGGCUAAUUUCGUC
RNAcentral lists this ribosomal RNA (484 nucleotides) under uncultured bacterium. RNAcentral describes it as "partial 16S ribosomal RNA". It matches the Rfam family "Bacterial small subunit ribosomal RNA", at positions 30 to 507 of the family's 1533-position model. The record is from RNAcentral.